UACGAAGGGGGCUAGCGUUGUUCGGAAUUACUGGGCGUAAAGCGCGUGUAGGCGGGUCUUUAAGUCAGGGGUGAAAUGCCAAGGCUCAACCUUGGAACUGCCUUUGAUACUGGAGACCUUGAGUCCGGGAGAGGUGAGUGGAAUUGCGAGUGUAGAGGUGAAAUUCGUAGAUAUUCGCAAGAACACCAGUGGCGAAGGCGGCUUACUGGUCCAUUACUGACGCUGAGGUGCGAAAGCGUGGGGAGCAAACAGG
Molecule: ribosomal RNA, 253 nt
Filed under: uncultured bacterium
Lineage: Bacteria
Description: partial 16S ribosomal RNA
Rfam family: Bacterial small subunit ribosomal RNA
Source: RNAcentral